ACGGGAGGCAGCAGCUAAGAAUAUUCCGCAAUGGACGAAAGUCUGACGGAGCGACGCCGCGUGGAUGAUGAAGGCCGGAAGGUUGUAAAAUCCUUUUAUAACUGAGGAAUAAGGGUUCUAGGAAAUGAGGAUCCGGUGACUGUAGGUUAUGAAUAAGCAACGGCUAAUUACGUGCCAGCAGCCGCGGUAACACGUAAGUUGCGAGCGUUGUUCGGAAUUAUUGGGCGUAAAGGGCAUGUAGGCGGUUAUGCAAGCUUGGUGUGAAAGGCAGGAGCUUAACUCCUGGACUGCGUUGAGAACUGCAUAACUGGAGUCACUGAGGGGCAGGCAGAAUUCCAGGUGUAGGGGUGAAAUCUGUAGAUAUCUGGAAGAAUACCAAUGGCGAAGGCAGCCUACCAGCAGAUGACUGACGCUGAGGUGCGAAGGUGCGGGGAGCAAACAGGAUUAGAUACCCUGGUA
RNAcentral lists this ribosomal RNA (459 nucleotides) under uncultured Treponema sp. RNAcentral's name for it is "partial 16S ribosomal RNA". It matches the Rfam family "Bacterial small subunit ribosomal RNA", at positions 341 to 792 of the family's 1533-position model. Lineage: Bacteria; Pseudomonadati; Spirochaetota; Spirochaetia; Treponematales; Treponemataceae. The record is from RNAcentral.